CCUGUCCCUAGAGGCAUUGUAAGUGUGGUUGCUGUGUCACUUGUGUGUCCAUAGGUGGCAGAAAGGGGAGACCUUAUGUCUACUCUGAGUGUUCUCACCUGUGAACAUCUGAAUGAUUAGUAGCCUAAUCCA
Small nucleolar RNA from Rattus norvegicus (Norway rat), 132 nucleotides. Ensembl annotates it as small nucleolar RNA SNORA17. The record is from Ensembl. Lineage: Eukaryota; Metazoa; Chordata; Mammalia; Rodentia; Muridae.